GAAGCCCCUUCCUGCACGGCCACCUGGGCCUGGCACCGCCCCCUUCCUGUCCCCUCCGUGUCCACCUGUCUCUCUCAAAUCCUCUGAAAGGAAGAGGAAGGAGGAUUCUGGGGCCUCGACAGCCUCCGCUUGGGUUUUACGAGGCGGCAGUGGUGCUGAAGCUGAAGCCUCUUAACCGCCCCGUCCCUGAACACUGUCGAGUGUCAGAAGCAGCAGAGCAUCCAUCCCGCCAGGGGGACAGCCGCCUUCUUCCCCCCACAAGGCUGUCUGGUGGCCUGUGCACCGGACACCCCCCAGGGAGGCCCCUCUCCAGCUGUGUUGGAAUAGGCCGCGUGAGCACCGGGUGGAAAUCCAGAGGCACUGGCGGAAGCAGGAGGAAAACCUCUCCCCACGCCUCUGCUCUGAGGUCCAGCUCCUUCCCAGGGCCACGGGCCCUCAGGAGGCCACAGCGCCGCUCUCCAUGUUUACUUGGACAGGCGCAGUUUCUGCAGCAGGGGCUGGCUUCCUUACCGUGGGUGGAUUAGAGUGGCAGUUUUGAAAGAUGCGUGUGUUGAGUGGGGGGUGGGAGAGUCUGAAUGAGAAAGUGGAGCAGGGAAAGUGCAGGCUCAGGGGGUGCCCUGGGCCAACCGGGGUGGUCCUGGGAACUGCAGUGAUGGUGCCAUUCGCACAUGGGCAUGUGUGCUCCCACACACACUCAUGCUCACGCUGGCUCAUAAACAUGCUCACACACGCACGCUCACACAUGCUGGUUCACACGCUCACUGGCUGACAAACAUGUUCACAUACACACGCUGACACACAUGCUGACUUGCACACUUCUCUAAAUGGGGAGCAGUCUUGUCACCCCGAGUUGGAGGUCAGGACUGAAGCACCCAGAGGCUGUGUGGGUGUCCACUUGGUGCAGCCAGCCUGGUGGAGUCCCAGGGGUCCUGCCCGUGGACGCUACUAUGUGGAGCGCCGACUGUGAGGGCCUCCGUGCUGACCCCAGGCGUUGGUGCAGGUCUGUGGGGUCUGUGCCUCGUCUAAGCCAGCGAGGACGUAGGUGACGCUCCCUAGGUGUCUCCUUGGAUUAGGGAUCUUCCGACAGGGCUGGAUUCCCAUGGAGCUCACUUACUAUGCAGCUGCUGUGGUCUCGGAGGACAGAAGGUACCUGUUGGCUUCAGAGCUUCUGCGAGGUUCUCUGGUUUGGGGAGGAGUGAGCAUCUCUGCCCUUAAACAGAAACACGUGGUCCCAGGAGAAGAGCCGGGAGCAGCCGGGCUGCCGUCUCAACCUCCAUUGAGAGGUCGGCUGUCUUAACUACUGCGCUGGAGACACGUUUUUAAAAAACAAAGCACAUUCUGGAUCAGAUUCUAAAAUAAUUGGCUUUGGGACAGUGAAGAGGUGAACGCGCUGCAGCCAGGUAUGCGGAGCUGGGCGAGGCCUCCUCCACGGGGCUGGGAGGGCGGCCCCUCCUUCUGGAAAGGGGUCAGGCCUGAGGCCGGCUGGAGAAUGUGCUCACCUGACGACUGCUCCUUGUGCCUGAGGGCUGGGCCGGUGGCAGAUUCUGGGGUGGGUGCCCUUUCCCUGCCUUCCCCUAUGUGAGCUGAUGCACGGCUCUGCACACCUGAGGGUCCAAGGUGGGCACUGGCCUCACACAAGCCAGGCGUGUGAAGUCAGGCACCCUGAGCCGGGCGAGGCCUCCUCCAGCAGGGCUGGGUGAGGCGGCGCUCCCUG
Molecule: long non-coding RNA, 1714 nt
Organism: Cebus imitator (Panamanian white-faced capuchin)
Lineage: Eukaryota; Metazoa; Chordata; Mammalia; Primates; Cebidae
Exons: 3
Source: RefSeq, a predicted model, not a curated record